RNAcentral lists this small RNA (348 nucleotides) under Atta cephalotes. RNAcentral describes it as "sRNA LOC105624769". The record is from RNAcentral. Lineage: Eukaryota; Metazoa; Arthropoda; Insecta; Hymenoptera; Formicidae.
GUAUUGAAAAAAGUGAUAAACUAUAAAAAUAACCUGAUGUUGUAACAACAGAUUUUGAAAAAGCAAAACUGAAAGCAAUCAAAACAAUUUUCCCCCAUGUAAAAACUAUUGGCAUACUUCUUUCAUUACAGCCAGACACUAAAUGAUUUCAAGCCCGGUUUAUUUUCUAUAUUCAAAGAAAUUGACAGAACAAAUAACCCGUCAGAGAGACACAAUCGCGAGCUGAAACAAAGUCUCCAAAAGCAUUCAAGAAUUAACAUUUUUAGAUAACCUAACUGAACAUCAAAAAGACAUCAAAAAUAUGAUGAAAUAUUCAAAAACAAGAUUACAACCUGAAACAAAAAGAAG